Molecule: ribosomal RNA, 1668 nt
Filed under: Escherichia coli
Lineage: Bacteria; Pseudomonadati; Pseudomonadota; Gammaproteobacteria; Enterobacterales; Enterobacteriaceae
Description: partial 23S ribosomal RNA
Rfam family: Bacterial large subunit ribosomal RNA
Source: RNAcentral
CGAAUGCUGACAUAAGUAACGAUAAAGCGGGUGAAAAGCCCGCUCGCCGGAAGACCAAGGGUUCCUGUCCAACGUUAAUCGGGGCAGGGUGAGUCGACCCCUAAGGCGAGGCCGAAAGGCGUAGUCGAUGGGAAACAGGUUAAUAUUCCUGUACUUGGUGUUACUGCGAAGGGGGGACGGAGAAGGCUAUGUUGGCCGGGCGACGGUUGUCCCGGUUUAAGCGUGUAGGCUGGUUUUCCAGGCAAAUCCGGAAAAUCAAGGCUGAGGCGUGAUGACGAGGCACUACGGUGCUGAAGCAACAAAUGCCCUGCUUCCAGGAAAAGCCUCUAAGCAUCAGGUAACAUCAAAUCGUACCCCAAACCGACACAGGUGGUCAGGUAGAGAAUACCAAGGCGCUUGAGAGAACUCGGGUGAAGGAACUAGGCAAAAUGGUGCCGUAACUUCGGGAGAAGGCACGCUGAUAUGUAGGUGAGGUCCCUCGCGGAUGGAGCUGAAAUCAGUCGAAGAUACCAGCUGGCUGCAACUGUUUAUUAAAAACACAGCACUGUGCAAACACGAAAGUGGACGUAUACGGUGUGACGCCUGCCCGGUGCCGGAAGGUUAAUUGAUGGGGUUAGCGGUAACGCGAAGCUCUUGAUCGAAGCCCCGGUAAACGGCGGCCGUAACUAUAACGGUCCUAAGGUAGCGAAAUUCCUUGUCGGGUAAGUUCCGACCUGCACGAAUGGCGUAAUGAUGGCCAGGCUGUCUCCACCCGAGACUCAGUGAAAUUGAACUCGCUGUGAAGAUGCAGUGUACCCGCGGCAAGACGGAAAGACCCCGUGAACCUUUACUAUAGCUUGACACUGAACAUUGAGCCUUGAUGUGUAGGAUAGGUGGGAGGCUUUGAAGUGUGGACGCCAGUCUGCAUGGAGCCGACCUUGAAAUACCACCCUUUAAUGUUUGAUGUUCUAACGUUGACCCGUAAUCCGGGUUGCGGACAGUGUCUGGUGGGUAGUUUGACUGGGGCGGUCUCCUCCUAAAGAGUAACGGAGGAGCACGAAGGUUGGCUAAUCCUGGUCGGACAUCAGGAGGUUAGUGCAAUGGCAUAAGCCAGCUUGACUGCGAGCGUGACGGCGCGAGCAGGUGCGAAAGCAGGUCAUAGUGAUCCGGUGGUUCUGAAUGGAAGGGCCAUCGCUCAACGGAUAAAAGGUACUCCGGGGAUAACAGGCUGAUACCGCCCAAGAGUUCAUAUCGACGGCGGUGUUUGGCACCUCGAUGUCGGCUCAUCACAUCCUGGGGCUGAAGUAGGUCCCAAGGGUAUGGCUGUUCGCCAUUUAAAGUGGUACGCGAGCUGGGUUUAGAACGUCGUGAGACAGUUCGGUCCCUAUCUGCCGUGGGCGCUGGAGAACUGAGGGGGGCUGCUCCUAGUACGAGAGGACCGGAGUGGACGCAUCACUGGUGUUCGGGUUGUCAUGCCAAUGGCACUGCCCGGUAGCUAAAUGCGGAAGAGAUAAGUGCUGAAAGCAUCUAAGCACGAAACUUGCCCCGAGAUGAGUUCUCCCUGACUCCUUGAGAGUCCUGAAGGAACGUUGAAGACGACGACGUUGAUAGGCCGGGUGUGUAAGCGCAGCGAUGCGUUGAGCUAACCGGUACUAAUGAACCGUGAGGCUUAACCUUACAACGCCGAAG